This is a non-coding RNA of Penaeus vannamei (Pacific white shrimp), 422 nucleotides long. Lineage: Eukaryota; Metazoa; Arthropoda; Malacostraca; Decapoda; Penaeidae. The record is from RefSeq and is a predicted model, not a curated record.
CUCUGGCCCUGAUGGUGGUCGUGCCCUGUCUGCCUUGGCACUGGCCAUUCCCGCACCCGAGGCCGAGGCCGACGCCAAGGCCAACAGGAGAUUCUUCUUCGGACAUGGAUUGGGUGGAUUCGGCGGCGGCUUCGGUGGAUUUGGUGGAUAUGGAGGAUAUGGAGGAUACGGCUAUGGACACAGGCCCUAUGGAUUUGGAUACUUUGGCUAAGGACAGAAGCUGAGGAUUCGGACGAUCCUUCUCAACUCCUUCCCCGGAUGCUGACCGCUGGCAGGGCUGCGCAGAUCGUCACCAAACCUCUGCUUCUGCCUUGACAACCUGCCAACCUGGGAAGGAAAUGAAACUCUGCCUUUAUUUACUAUCUUCGUUCGACUUUACCUGUUCACUAAGAAUGGUUCAAUAAAUUGGUGUUUGCCUUGAA